This 1080-nucleotide long non-coding RNA is filed under the name Ananas comosus (pineapple). Its description in RNAcentral is "long non-coding RNA (ACOM_LNC022362)". Lineage: Eukaryota; Viridiplantae; Streptophyta; Magnoliopsida; Poales; Bromeliaceae. The record is from RNAcentral.
GUGUCACGCCCCGAGCCCGCCUCUUUGGUCGGAUUCGGGCACACCAACAGACCGCCGAACGGACAGGAUUUCCCCUGUACCGCGGACAGAGUCUCCCCUGUACGUUCAAGGCGUCGCAAUCAACACAAUGUACGAAGUUCCAACCAGGAACACAUUUCAACCAAAGAUUGCAUAAGGAAGUAUCAAAAACAUAAAUCUACUUGCUAUUACAAGCAUUCAUCUCACAUAUUACAUUUUACAUUCCACAUUACAUUCUUUUACAUUGAUCCUCAACUUCCGAUUAUACAAUCAAGUUCUUAACAUACUUAUUACAACAUUGUUCUUACAAUUAUCACAUUUUUGGUUCUUUGCAUUUUAUACCCCUAAGAAGCCGACUCAGGGUGCUGCUAUCUGGUCUCAGUGGUAGGGCGCUAACUACGGAGCUACGCCCUUUCCUCGCGCCGCCGCGCCGCUCGCGUGUGAACCUGUAAAACCCCGAAGCAACGUGGGGUGAGAACUAACUCCAUAGUUCCCAGUGGGUACGGCCACCCAAGGGAAGAGCUCGACCAUCAGGUCAAAGGAGGCAAACAACAUGUUAGUCCAAUAGAUAGAUAUGAAAUCAUAAAUCAUGCAACUAACAUUACCAUGCUUUUGCCUCACAACAUGCAAUAUGCAAAUUAUGCAACUCAUAUAGUAGAUUAAUUGCUUCUACACUUUACUCUUAUCCAUUCUUUACUUUUACUCAUUCUUUACUUUACUAGCUAUUCUUUAGCAUUAACCCUUCUUUAUUCUUUAUUACCUGUCAUUCUUUAGCAUUAGCCUUUUCUUAUUCUUGAUUCUUCAUUCUUUAUUCUUUACGCUUUUCUAAGGGUACUCACACCUUACUAAUAUUAUACACGUUAGCCUUUCUUUCCUAAGGUUACUUUACCUUAGCCAACUUUGCCAUCCGACUCGGUCUUGAGUCAAUCAACUGCGGAUAGUCCGCGCUCUGUCCGGCUCGAGGUGAAGGAACUCUCACAUACACCUCAGCCUUCAAUCACAAACCACAUCGCCCAACGGGUCGCCCAGAGCUGCGUACACCCGUGGUCAGGGAUCCCCCGG